ACAAGGUAGCCGUAGGGGAACUGCGGCUGGAUCACCUCCUUUCUAAGGAUGAUCCUUCAGCGAGCUUCGGCUCACUAUCGGAUCGUUUUAGAAACAUCAGUGGCCAACAGUCGUCAGGAUUGUUGAGCUGCAUUGGCGGGAUUUCGCCGUCUUCGUUUCUCUUUCUUCGCGGACGAACACGCGCCGGGGCUGCGUUGUGCGAUUGCAUUUGGCGCUAGUCGCCGGUUGCUGCACGCCAAGACCCUAGUCCUUGAUAGGAUAGCGUUAGGGGCUUGUAGCUCAGUUGGUUAGAGCGCGCGCUUGAUAAGCGUGAGGUCGGAAGUUCAAGUCUUCCCAGGCCCACCACUUUCAUCGAGUGAGCAUUCGUCUUCUGGUUACGGGGCCAUAGCUCAGCUGGGAGAGCGCGUGCUUUGCAAGCAUGAGGUCGUCGGUUCGAUCCCGUCUGGNCUCCACCAGAUGGUUUGAUCAUCGACUGAUCGUGCACCUAAAUCGUCCGCGAAACAUCACUUCGCACUUGCUAGUCCGGAUGGACAGCAGGCUGCGUGAUUUCUGACAUCGUAAAGAGGAGAUCGAUCCGAGUUGGAUCGUGCAGAAGAUUUCUGCGCGAUACUUCAUUAUCUCCGGAUCAUUUCGGCGCUCACGCGUCCUUCAAGGUCAAACUUGAAAGACGGGCGAGUUGUAAAUGAUCCUUUUAGCGAAGCUUGACCGCCUCGCUAUCGGAACGAUCUUACGAAGCAAGCUGGUCUUUCUAAUCAUUGUCCGGCUGCAGAUAGCGUUCAUCGAGGGCGCGUGCCGCAAGGCAGUUCUGCAGACAACAUUCUGCCGAGUGUGUGGACAUUGAUAAUGAGAGCA
Molecule: transfer RNA, 852 nt
Filed under: Bradyrhizobium diazoefficiens
Lineage: Bacteria; Pseudomonadati; Pseudomonadota; Alphaproteobacteria; Hyphomicrobiales; Nitrobacteraceae
Description: partial contains 16S ribosomal RNA, 16S-23S ribosomal RNA intergenic spacer, and 23S ribosomal RNA
Rfam family: tRNA (bases 269-342)
Source: RNAcentral